UCUCGAGAGUGCUAGCUCGCACGAAGAUCAUCUUGUUGGCUGAUCUGGAUCCUUUCUUUAAAUCUUUCAAAUUUUUUCAAAGAUUGAAGAAAGACAUCUGGAGAAGAUGAGGAUGAAAAAAAAGUAUGGAGAGGAGACACUCUUCUCUCUUCUUUUUCUCUCUUCCCAAAUCCAUAGGAACAAACCCUAGAAAUCUAGAUUUUGCACUCACCCA
RNAcentral lists this long non-coding RNA (214 nucleotides) under Elaeis guineensis (African oil palm). RNAcentral describes it as "long non-coding RNA (EGUI_LNC061921)". The record is from RNAcentral. Lineage: Eukaryota; Viridiplantae; Streptophyta; Magnoliopsida; Arecales; Arecaceae.